UUGACAGUUACUUACACCCACUGUCCGCCUGGGAACUACGAGCGCCAGCUUAAAACCCAAAGGACUUGGCGGUGCUUUAGACCCACCUAGAGGAGCCUGUUCUAGAACCGAUAAUCCCCGUUAAACCUCACCCUUCCUUGUCAUUUCCGCCUAUAUACCACCGUCGUCAGCUUACCCUGUGAAGGCCCAAUAGUAAGCGCAAUCGGCAAUGCCCAAAACGUCAGGUCGAGGUGUAGCGAAUGGAAGGGGAAGAAAUGGGCUACAUUUACUAACACAGUAAAUACGGAUGAUUACCCUGCAACGAGUAUCUGAAGGAGGAUUUAGCAGUAAGCAAAAAGCAGAGUGUUUU
Molecule: ribosomal RNA, 349 nt
Filed under: Chaetodon semilarvatus (bluecheek butterflyfish)
Lineage: Eukaryota; Metazoa; Chordata; Actinopteri; Chaetodontiformes; Chaetodontidae
Description: partial 12S ribosomal RNA
Rfam family: Bacterial small subunit ribosomal RNA
Source: RNAcentral